This 492-nucleotide ribosomal RNA is filed under the name uncultured bacterium. RNAcentral's name for it is "partial 16S ribosomal RNA". It matches the Rfam family "Bacterial small subunit ribosomal RNA", at positions 29 to 507 of the family's 1533-position model. The record is from RNAcentral.
AGUGAACGCUGGCGGUAGGCCUAACACAUGCAAGUCGAACGGCAGCACAGUAAGAGCUUGCUCUUACGGGUGGCGAGUGGCGGACGGGUGAGGAAUACAUCGGAAUCUACUUUUUCGUGGGGGAUAACGUAGGGAAACUUACGCUAAUACCGCAUACGACCUACGGGUGAAAGCAGGGGAUCUUCGGACCUUGCGUGAUUGAAUGAGCCGAUGUCGGAUUAGCUAGUUGGCGGGGUAAAGGCCCACCAAGGCGACGAUUCGUAGCUGGUCUGAGAGGAUGAUCAGCCACACUGGAACUGAGACACGGUCCAGACUCCUACGGGAGGCAGCAGUGGGGAAUAUUGGACAAAGGGCGCAAGCCUGAUCCAGCCAUACCGCGUGGGUGAAGAAGGCCUUCGGGUUGUAAAGCCCUUUUGUUGGGAAAGAAAAGCAGCAGGUUAAUACCCCGCUGUUCUGACGGUACCCAAAGAAUAAGCACCGGCUAACUUCGUG